AUUGAACGCUGGCGGCAUGCCUUACACAUGCAAGUCGAACGGCAGCACGGGAGCAAUCCUGGUGGCGAGUGGCGAACGGGUGAGUAAUGUAUCGGAACGUGCCCAGUCGUGGGGGAUAACGUAGCGAAAGCUACGCUAAUACCGCAUACGAUCUGUGGAUGAAAGCGGAGGACCGUAAGGCCUCGCGCGAUUGGAGCGGCCGAUAUCAGAUUAGGUAGUUGGUGGGGUAAAGGCCUACCGAGCCGACGAUCUGUAGCUGGUCUGAGAGGACGGCCAGCCACACUGGGACAGAGACACGGCCCAGACUCCUACGGGAGGCAGCAGUGGGGAAUUUUGGACAAUGGGCGCAAGCCUGAUCCAGCAAUGCCGCGUGCAGGAUGAAGGCCUUCGGGUUGUAAACUGCUUGUGUACGGAGCGAAAAGGCUCUCUCUAAUACAGGGGGCUCAUGACGGUACCGUAAGAAUAAGCACCGGCUAACUACGUGCCAGCAGCCGCAGUAA
Molecule: ribosomal RNA, 500 nt
Filed under: uncultured bacterium
Lineage: Bacteria
Description: partial 16S ribosomal RNA
Rfam family: Bacterial small subunit ribosomal RNA
Source: RNAcentral